Molecule: ribosomal RNA, 497 nt
Filed under: Rhodococcus sp. AT09-01
Lineage: Bacteria; Bacillati; Actinomycetota; Actinomycetes; Mycobacteriales; Nocardiaceae
Description: bacterial SSU rRNA
Rfam family: Bacterial small subunit ribosomal RNA
Source: RNAcentral
GACGGCCUUCGGGUUGUAAACCUCUUUCAGCAGGGACGAAGCGCAAGUGACGGUACCUGCAGAAGAAGCACCGGCUAACUACGUGCCAGCAGCCGCGGUAAUACGUAGGGUGCAAGCGUUGUCCGGAAUUACUGGGCGUAAAGAGUUCGUAGGCGGUUUGUCGCGUCGUUUGUGAAAACCAGCAGCUCAACUGCUGGCUUGCAGGCGAUACGGGCAGACUUGAGUACUGCAGGGGAGACUGGAAUUCCUGGUGUAGCGGUGAAAUGCGCAGAUAUCAGGAGGAACACCGGUGGCGAAGGCGGGUCUCUGGGCAGUAACUGACGCUGAGGAACGAAAGCGUGGGUAGCGAACAGGAUUAGAUACCCUGGUAGUCCACGCCGUAAACGGUGGGCGCUAGGUGUGGGUUCCUUCCACGGAAUCCGUGCCGUAGCUAACGCAUUAAGCGCCCCGCCUGGGGAGUACGGCCGCAAGGCUAAAACUCAAAGGAAAUUGACGGA